AGUUUAACCUUAUAUGCCAUUGCCACCUAUACUAAUUCUUCAGGUUUUUGAAAUUGUUUUCAAGAGAAUAUGGUUUUCUUUUUUCUUUUUUUUAUUCCUCACUUGGGGAGGGGGGACUCCUUUUGUGCUUCAGAUAUAUUUUUAAGUUGUCUUCAGCAUCUGUUCUCUGUCUGCAUCUGGGCUUGUUUUUCCUCCUUUCAUACUUUUGAUCUGCACUAUCUUCUUUGAUGCUUCUUCCCCACCCACCCCAAUUGUCUAAUUUUCUUGGGUGGAGCUGGGGGAGGGGAGGCUGUUGUUUGCUUUUCCUUUCAUCCACGUCAGUCUUUUCUAUGUUUCUUUCAAAAAGCACAAGAAUGAAUUGCAUCCAGAAACAGAGAUUUGUUCUUUUGGCCUCACACACACCAUGCUGCCCUACACAUAAAAUGAAGAAAGAUAACCAUGCUGGAGAUGGAUAAGAUUGGAGCUGUAAAUGUACAGAAGCCAUCGUUGUAAAUCCAAAUGCUUCAGAAAGAAAAGCAGUUUCUGGUGCCAGAUGGAGUGGAUAAUUAACAUGCACCUGAGAUGUCCUUAUCGGUGCCAGUCUUUACCUGCAAGGCUAAUACUUUUGAAGUCAAUGACAAAAGCACCAGCCGGUGGCCACAAAUAGAAGAUCAGCAUUUUUUAAGUCUGAACUCAGACAAAGCUCCCCACUCCAUAAACUGGAAAAACCUCUGGAGAAACAACCCAGUUGCAGAAUAUGUUGAUGCUUGGAUGCAGCAGUCACACCACUUCAUAUCGAUGGGGAAAGAAAUUUUAACAACAAACUAAGUGCAAACACCUCUUGCCAUGCCAGAAACCAAUUUGGAUUUCACAGCACCUUAUCAAUAUAGUUUAAGUUAAUUCCUUUCUGAAGUCACAUUGCUAAAAGGCACAGAUCAAGUGACAAGGACUAAAUAACAAGAGAGUCUUGAAGCACCUCAAUGACUAAGGGUGGUAUCCAACAGUGAUGGUUUCCUGGAGGAAAGAAUCUAUCAGAGGAAUGGGAAGUGAACUUAGGGCAGCACACAUGGUUCUUCUCCUUCCACUUUACCAUCAGAACAGCCCUGAAGCUUCAGCUGAGAGAUGCUCAUGACUGAGUGGAGACUCGAACUUGGAUCUCCCCAGACCAUGUCUAACUCAGCAAUGGGGAACCUGUGGCCCUCCAUAUGUAGUUGGAGUUGAGCUCCCAUCAGCCAGCAUAGCCAACGGCAAGUGAUUAUGACCGCUGUACUCUAGCAACACCUGGAGAGCCACAGGUUCCCGGUCCCUGCUCUAACCAUUAUAUCA
This is a long non-coding RNA of Podarcis raffonei (Aeolian wall lizard), 1305 nucleotides long. RefSeq lists it as uncharacterized. The record is from RefSeq and is a predicted model, not a curated record. Lineage: Eukaryota; Metazoa; Chordata; Lepidosauria; Squamata; Lacertidae. The transcript has 5 exons.